GGGUAGACUUGGAGGGCAGAUAAAGACAAGCACUGUGGGUAAGACAUGUACCUAAGGCCUUGGAAUCAGACUGCCAGAUGUGGAUCCUAGCUGAAUUUACUGGAUAUAGGUGGCCUGCAAUCAUUGACUGGCUGGUGUGAAGGAAAAAAACCUGGCCCUCCUGCCUCAAUGAGCAACAACUCUGAAGAGCCAUCUCAUCUCCAGAGCUCCCAUAAGAUAGGGCAGAGGCCUCAGCAACAACCAGAUCACUGGCCCUCCUCUCGCUCUCCCCAAUCCUCUUUCUCACUCCCUUAUGGGUGUAUCUCUCAACAAAACUCCCCAGUAAACCUUCUGCAUGAAACUCCCUAUCGCAGACUCUAUUUCUAAGAAGCUCAGUCUAAGACAGUUUGUAUCAGGAAUGUUUAAGGAAGCAGACUCUAAAAUGGGAUUUGGGGAGUAGGUUACAAACCUACUGGCUGGAAUAAAAAUCUUAUCCCUGGUGGUAGCAGAAUAUGGAUAUAUUUGGCUCCAGGCAUGCUGGAGUGGUAUGAUUAUUACAAACCUCGCCAGUGAUGAACUGAGAUCGAAUACAGAUAAUAGGAGGUGCAUUGGCUAUUGUAGUAUCUUUGAUGCUGAAGAGGAUUUCCAGAUGGGUUACCCAUAGUAGAAGGGGCUUCCCAGGAAGCUCAAAUGGUAAAGAAUUUGCUUGCAAUGCUGGACACCUGGGUUCGAUCCCUGGGUCAGGAAGAUCCCCUAGAGAAGGGCAUGGCAACCCACUCCAGUAUUCUUGCCUGGACAAUCCCAUGGACAGAGGAGCCUGGCGGGCUACAGUCCAUGGACAAAGAGUCGGACACAACUGAGCAACAAACAUACAUUCAUAGCAGAACAGAAGAAUUGUGUUCCACCUGGCAAAGUUUGGGAGAGCAGAAAAAGUCUGGAGGAGGCACCACAGAAAAUGGCAGCUACAUGAGGUUUCUGGUCAUGCAGGAUAAGGAUGAAGAACAGAAGAAAAGAGAGCAUCAAAGACAGAUUUUACCUUAUUAAACCUGAAACACAGAUUCAAAUAGUUUAAAACAUGAAAAUAACCCAAAAGAUCUUCUAGAAUAACAGUUUCCAGAAUCACAUUUCUUCAUUUUAACAUGAGGGAAUUCAACUCGCUUCCUACAGUAUCUUCAAGCCCCAAGGUUCACCAACAAAGAUUUAUCUUAAAAUCUGUCUUCCUAAUUUUAGCUGAACUUCA
Molecule: long non-coding RNA, 1219 nt
Organism: Bos taurus (domestic cattle)
Lineage: Eukaryota; Metazoa; Chordata; Mammalia; Artiodactyla; Bovidae
Source: Ensembl